UACGGGGGGGGGCAAGCGUUGUUCGGAAUUAGCUGGGCGUAAAGGCUCGUAGGGUGGCCAACUAAGUCAGACGUGAAAUCCCCUCAGCUUAACUGGGGGACUGCGUCUGAUACUGGAUGGCUUGAGUUUGGGGAGAGGGAUGCGGGAAUUCCAGGUGUAGCGGUGAAAAUGCGUAGAUAUCUGGAGGAACACCGGUGGCGAAGGCGGC
Molecule: ribosomal RNA, 208 nt
Filed under: uncultured bacterium
Lineage: Bacteria
Description: partial 16S ribosomal RNA
Rfam family: Bacterial small subunit ribosomal RNA
Source: RNAcentral